Molecule: ribosomal RNA, 942 nt
Filed under: uncultured bacterium
Lineage: Bacteria
Description: bacterial SSU rRNA
Rfam family: Bacterial small subunit ribosomal RNA
Source: RNAcentral
AGAGUUUGAUCAUGGCUCACAGCGAACGCUGGCGGCAGGCCUAACACAUGCAAGUCGAGCGCCGUAGCAAUACGGAGCGGCAGACGGGAGAGUAACACGUGGGAACGUGCCCUUCAGUUCGGAACAACCCAGGGAAACUUGGGCUAAUACCGGAUACGUCCGUAAGGAGAAAGAUUUAUCGCUGAAGGAUCGGCCCGCGUCUGAUUAGCUAGUUGGUGAGGUAAUGGCUCACCAAGGCGACGAUCAGUAGCUGGUCUGAGAGGAUGAUCAGCCUCACUGGGACUGAGACACGGCCCAGACUCCUACGGGAGGCAGCAGUGGGGAAUAUUGGACAAUGGGCGCAAGCCUGAUCCAGCCAUGCCGCGUGGGUGAUGAAGGCCUUAGGGUUGUAAAGCCCUUUCGGCGGGGAAGAUAAUGACGGUACCCGCAGAAGAAGCCCCGGCUAACUUCGUGCCAGCAGCCGCGGUAAUACGAAGGGGGCUAGCGUUGCUCGGAAUCACUGGGCGUAAAGCGCACGUAGGCGGCUUUUUAAGUCAGGGGUGAAAUCCUGGAGCUCAACUCCAGAACUGCCCUUGAUACUGAGAAGCUUGAGUCCGGGAGAGGUGAGUGGAACUGCGAGUGUAGAGGUGAAAUUCGUAGAUAUUCGCAAGAACACCAGUGGCGAAGGCGGCUCACUGGCCCGGUACUGACGCUGAGGUGCGAAAGCGUGGGGAGCAAACAUGAUUAGAUACCCUGGUAGUCCACGCCGUAAACGAUGGAUGCUAGCCGUUGUCGGGUUUACUCGUCAGUGGCGCAGCUAACGCAUUAAGCAUCCCGCCUGGGGAGUACGGUCGCAGAUUAAACUCAACGAAUUGACGGGGGCCCGCACAAGCGGUGGAGCAUGUGGUUCAAUUCUAAGCAACGCGAAAACCUUACCAGCCGUUGACAUCCCGGUCGCGGGCA